GAAUUGCGAUAUGUAAUGUGAAUUGCAGAAUUCAGUGAAUCAUCGAAUCUUUGAACGCACAUUGCACCCUCAGGUCUUUUCCAGAGGGUAUGCCUGUUUGAGUGUCGUUGACCCAUCAAUGCAGACAAGUCUUUUUUGAUUUGCUUUCUGUACUUGGAGGUUGAAGGCUGCCGGCGUCAUGGCCAGCUCCUUUUAAAUUUAUUAGCGGGACUUUGAAGACUCGGCUUCAGUUUGAUAAUGCAUCUAUGCUGUUGCCGAAGAACGUUUGUCUGGCUUAUAGCUGUCCUUUUGGACUGUCUCUUUAGAGGCACAACGCAAAUCAACUCUUGACCUCAAAUCAGGUAGGACUACCCGCUGAACUUAA
RNAcentral lists this unclassified non-coding RNA (364 nucleotides) under uncultured Clavaria. RNAcentral's name for it is "sequence contains ITS1". The stretch from base 1 to 107 matches the Rfam family "5.8S ribosomal RNA", at positions 50 to 154 of the family's 154-position model. The record is from RNAcentral. Lineage: Eukaryota; Fungi; Basidiomycota; Agaricomycetes; Agaricales; Clavariaceae.